AAAGGGAGACCUAAUUCGGGUAUGGGAUGAAAAAAAAGUAGUCCCAACCAAGAAUCAAUCCCAAAAGGUCGGAGCGAGGCGAAAUUGGCUUUCAAACUAGGUCCUGGGUUCACAGACGACCUGAAUCAGGAACAAGGGCUAUUAGCUCAGGUGGUUAGAGCGCACCCCUGAUAAGGGUGAGGUCCCUGGUUCGAGUCCAGGAUGGCCCACCUGCACAGGUGGUAAAAACAAGAGAAGCGAGGAAUCAGCACCUUAUCUUACUUACAUAGUAAGAGAGAAUGCUGGCUCUGAGUAAAGAGUCCAGAGGAACCUUGAAAACUGCAUAGAGCUAGGUGAAAAAGCCAAAAAAGAAGACCGCAAG
This 361-nucleotide transfer RNA is filed under the name uncultured Microcystis sp. RNAcentral's name for it is "partial 16S-23S ribosomal RNA intergenic spacer". The stretch from base 136 to 209 matches the Rfam family "tRNA". The record is from RNAcentral. Lineage: Bacteria; Bacillati; Cyanobacteriota; Cyanophyceae; Chroococcales; Microcystaceae.